Molecule: long non-coding RNA, 539 nt
Filed under: Hordeum vulgare
Lineage: Eukaryota; Viridiplantae; Streptophyta; Magnoliopsida; Poales; Poaceae
Description: long non-coding RNA (HVUL_LNC015022)
Source: RNAcentral
CAAGUAGGUAUGAUAAAAAACCACAAACUCUGCGACUUUCCCACCAUUGCCACCAUUGCCACGGUUGCCACGGUUGCCACCAUUGCCACCAAGUAGGUAUGAUAAAAAACCACUAACUCUGCGACUUUCCCACCAUUGCCACGGUUGCCACGGUUGCCACGGUUGCCACCAUUGCCACGGUUGCCACGGUUGCCACGGUUGCCACGAUUGCCACCAAGUAGGUAUGAUAAAAAACCACUAACUCUGCGACUUUCCCACCAUUGCCACCAUUGCCACGGUUGCCACGGUUGCCACCAUUGCCACCAUUGCCACGGUUGCCACGGUUGCCACGGUUGCCACGAUUGCCACCAAGUAGGUAUGAUAAAAAACCACUAACUCUGCGACUUUCCCACCAUUUCCACCAUUGCCACCAUUGCCACGGUUGCCACGGUUGCCACCAAGUAGGUAUGAUAAAAAACCACUAACUCUGCGACUUUCCCACCAUUGCCACGGUUGCCACGGUUGCCACGGUUGCCACCAAGUAGGUAUGAUAAAAAACC